UCACCGGGAGUAUUGCGUGAUC
Molecule: microRNA, 22 nt
Filed under: Pristionchus pacificus
Lineage: Eukaryota; Metazoa; Nematoda; Chromadorea; Rhabditida; Neodiplogasteridae
Description: ppc-miR-2235c-3p
Source: miRBase by way of RNAcentral